RNAcentral lists this transfer RNA (70 nucleotides) under Anolis barbouri. Its description in RNAcentral is "tRNA-Trp". It matches the Rfam family "tRNA". Rfam says of the family: Transfer RNA (tRNA) molecules are approximately 80 nucleotides in length. Their secondary structure includes four short double-helical elements and three loops (D, anti-codon, and T loops). Lineage: Eukaryota; Metazoa; Chordata; Lepidosauria; Squamata; Anolidae. The record is from RNAcentral.
UAAAAAUUUAGGUUUAACUAAACCAGGGGCCUUCAAAGCCCACAAAAAGGGUGUAAACCCCUUAAUUUUU